Long non-coding RNA from Sebastes umbrosus (honeycomb rockfish), 157 nucleotides. RefSeq lists it as uncharacterized. The transcript has 4 exons. Lineage: Eukaryota; Metazoa; Chordata; Actinopteri; Perciformes; Sebastidae. The record is from RefSeq and is a predicted model, not a curated record.
UCCUGUUCCUCUUUAAUGUGUGGGGGCUCUGGGUCCUCCUGGUCCAGACUGGAGCUCCACUCCUGCUGCUCAGGGGGAACCUCUUCUUUAACCACCAACAGCUGCUGGACAUCUGCAGGAAAACAGUAAACACAAAUAGAGACUCUCAUGUGUAUCU